This 47-nucleotide ribosomal RNA is filed under the name Leptolyngbya sp. R11-1. Its description in RNAcentral is "partial 23S ribosomal RNA". RNAcentral also lists the same sequence under 1 other name. Lineage: Bacteria; Bacillati; Cyanobacteriota; Cyanophyceae; Leptolyngbyales; Leptolyngbyaceae. The record is from RNAcentral.
GGUCAAGCUACAAAGGGCAGAUGGUGGAUACCUAGGCACCACAGAGA